CUAAAACAUGCUCUAUUAUACUAUUGUUAGCAAUUUCUUUAUCGUCCAAUUUAUCUGGUGUACACACUUUAUUUUCAUAAUAAACUCGUUUGUUAGAUUAUACACAGUUAUAGUGGUCUAUAAUAAAUAUUGACAGGUUUUAUUCAAGCUGUUUAGAAUGAUUGCCAUAGGCUAAUUUUUAAAAAUGUAAAUCCCCAAAAAAAAAAAAAAAAAAUGUAAAUAAAUAAAAAACAUUGGAAAAGAAUAACUUGUACUUUUUUAUACAUUUUGUAUAGUUUCAUAGUUUAUGCAUUAUAGUUAUAAAAACAAACAAAUUUAGCCACUCACAUAGAAAUCUUAGGCCUUAUCCUUUUCUGACAGUUUUAGGGAUUUUUAAAAAUCCUAAAAAACCUUAUUUGUGCUGCAAAUAAUAAUUUCAAACUAAUUUGAUACUGACCUCUGACAUCCUGUGACAUGAUAUUUAUUUGAAUUUACAUAAUCUCAUGGAUGUAACAGUAAAUCUGUUCAGCUCACAGAUCAAGACUAAGCUGUAAUGUAAGCAGAACUUUCACAAAUGCUUUUAGGUCAAUAAAAUCAUUACAAAACACUUACAAAUCAUUUAAGGGAUUUGAUAACACUGUAAAAUAAUGUCUAAUUUGUUAACAUUAGCAAAUGCAUUGAUAACACUUUAUAAUAACUGCACUCAUUAGUAAAUAGUCAGUUCAUGCUUCAUAAAGCCUUGUCCCAAUAUUAAUAGUCAGUAGUAAGCAGUUUAUAAAUACAGCUAUAAAUAGCUCAUUUAUUAAAAAGGAGAGUAAA
This is a long non-coding RNA of Carassius gibelio (silver crucian carp), 798 nucleotides long. RefSeq lists it as uncharacterized. NCBI's taxonomy places the organism in Eukaryota, Metazoa, Chordata, Actinopteri, Cypriniformes, Cyprinidae. The record is from RefSeq and is a predicted model, not a curated record. The transcript is spliced from 2 exons.